GUCUCUUUGAAUAGCUUAUAUAAAGAGUUUGACCUGCCCAGUGAUUGAUUCUUUUUAACGGCCGCAGUACCCUGACUGUGCAAAGGUAGCAUAAUAAUUUGCCUUAUAAUUGAUGGCUAGUAUGAAUGGUUUGACGAGAGCACCCCUGUCUCUAAUGUAUUAUUUAUAAUUUAUUUUUUAAGUUAAAAAGCUUAAAUAAAACUAAAAGACGAGAAGACCCUAUCGAGCUUUAAAAGACUUUUAAGAAUAAUAAAGAAGAUUUAUUCUUAAAAAUAUUUUGGUUGGGGCGACCGAGGAACAAACAAGCUUCCUUAAUUACAAAAAUUGUACAAGAUCCAAUAAUAUAUUGAUAAAUGAAAUUAGUUACCGUAGGGAUAACAGCGUUAUUUUUUCUGAGAGCUCUUAUCAAGGAAAAAGCUUGCGACCUCGAUGUUGGAUUGAGAUAACUUAAGGGUGCAGUAGCUUUUGUAAGUUAGUCUGUUCGACUAUAAAAAUCUCACAU
Molecule: ribosomal RNA, 502 nt
Filed under: Rhabdotakra canestrinii
Lineage: Eukaryota; Metazoa; Mollusca; Gastropoda; Architaenioglossa; Cochlostomatidae
Description: partial 16S ribosomal RNA
Rfam family: Bacterial large subunit ribosomal RNA
Source: RNAcentral